This 2369-nucleotide long non-coding RNA is filed under the name Malus domestica (apple). Its description in RNAcentral is "long non-coding RNA (MDOM_LNC017814)". The record is from RNAcentral. Lineage: Eukaryota; Viridiplantae; Streptophyta; Magnoliopsida; Rosales; Rosaceae.
UUUUUCUUUCCAGGCUCCCUUACUUCUUUCCACGCAGUUUCGCUCCAAGAGCUCUCUCCAACUUGGUAAUCACCUGCUGAUUUGGAAUCGCCUUCCCAGAUUCAUACUCUUGGAUCACUUGAGGCUUCUCAUUGAUGAUCUGCAAAUAACCCCGAGAUUGUCAUCAGUAAUUGUGUACACAUAUGUGUGUGAGAGGGGGGGGAGAGAGAGAGAGGGAGAGAUUGGGAGAGAGAGAUGGAUACUUGAGCAAGUUGAGCCUGGGUAAGCUUCUUAUCAGUUCGAGCUUGCAUGAUAGCCUUCUUCAGCUCACUUGGCACACGUUCAUCUAUUUCAAAAUCAGAUGACAUUAAAGCACGAAACCAAAGUAGACGAGAGUAAAAAACAUCGAGGCAAACAACAAAUAACUUUUCUGGAUUGCUUCAAUAUAUUUCAGCUGGAAAAGAAUCAGACCAAAUGUUCAAAGAAUUAUAUUAAACCAGAUUGAGGAGCCCAAGUUCUGGAUGGAAUUGUGGAGGGAAGAGUAUGCAAGGGCAAGCACACAUGUAUGUUAAUAGAACUAUAAGUACACAUUUAUAAUUAAAAUAGAGAUGUAAAGGUCUACAAACUUUUCUAUUGCCACCAAAACAACUCAUACCAUAUGUCUAAACCACACAUGCUAUGGUGAGGGCAAAAGUAACGGAAACUUCAGAGAAAGCAAACAUACAACGAAGAGAAUCUUGGAAUACCACUAGUGCAUAUGAGAGAAACAAAAAAAUAAAUAAAUAAAUUACCACAGCAACAUAUACAACAAUAAGCAAAAAGGUUCAGUGAAGCAAGGGACUUUAACUUUAUUCGUUUAGUCUCUACGUUAGUCUAUAGCCCGUUAGGUCCAAUGAACCACUGAAAAGCAUCCUGGCACCAUGCCAUGCCAUGAACUCUUCUCCCACCCCCAUUCCUCAAUGCAGUGCUCAUGUCAAGAUAGCAAUAUUAUUGGGAAGAAAGAGGAGAUAAAGAAGGUCCCCAAAAGAAGGUCCCCAGGGCGUUCAACUCCAAAGUUCGAGUUCACAUUGAAAUAAAGAUGAUUCAAGGAGCAGUACAUAAACACAUUAUAUGUAUGAAGAACUGAACCAUGCAACCAACUUGGCAAAAGAAACACUAGGCAAGAUGGCGCAGCCUAGUGCACCCACAAUUGCAGGAUCUUCGGAGUACAAACUUACACAGCCUCAAACCAACUUGUAAAGAGGUUGUUUCCCAUUUCAAACCCGUGACCUCAGUUUGCAACGGAACAAACCAUACAAUUGCACCAAGGUUCAUCUCUCAGAAGCAAACAAGAAGCUAAUAUGUAAGAGGAUCUAUUUACUUCCUUAAGCCAACCCAAACAGUUUCACAACAGUUGCAAACUAAGAAACAAUUAUAAUGAUGUCAAGAAGAGAUUAUUUAGCUCAUUCAAGAAAGAUAUAUCAAUCCUAGAAACGAAAAACAAGAAUUUUGUAUAUACAUAGUACAAGAAAGAGAAAAACUCACGAGCAAGGUUCUCUGUUUCAUCAUCAAGCUUCCUCGUGUUCAAAGUAGUGCUGCUGGAGGCAGCUUUAUUGGUCCCAGCAGUUGCUGCAAAGAUUAACAACGCAACCAUUUAGAGUUGCAACUUCGAAAGUUAUAAUAUGCAGCAUGAAAACCCACACAAUAAACUAACUUUUAUACCCAAUCUUAUGGCACACCAAGCUGGAAAGAAACUAAAAGUCCAACACUAAACAAAUCGACAACGAAAAUGCCAUUACAAAUGGAAGAACAUUAAGAUUAUCGAGCCCGAAAAUGAUUACUAAAACCAAUGCAAAUGGUGCAAAUCAUUCGCACAAACACAUGAGAAAAACCCCAUUAGCUACAAGGUAAUAUAAAUCAAACCAGACAAUCGAGCCAGAACAACGAAUCAGCAGCUUACCCAAAUGGCAAAAAUUUGCUACCUUGUUUUCUAUGCUUUUCCAAUCAAAAACAGCAAAUUACAACUUUAACGAGUGCAAAAAUCCAACCCAAAAAUUACGAGUAAAGCAUUCUACUUUCAAAUUCUAAAAUUUGAUUUUCUCUAAUUUUAACCCCUAUGAGAUUUUUGAAAUCAUUUCGUGGGUUCCAUUUUGUUUUCCGCUUAACCAAUAACAGAACAAAACAAAUUGAAGACCAAAGAAUGAAAGAGACAGAGAAGGGGAAAGUGAGGAAGAAGGAAGGACGAUACAAAACCUUUCUUGAGGGUUUCGAUCUCAGCUCCGGAGCGGCGAGCGGCGUUGACGGCUUUCUCAUCCUUCUUGGCGGCGGCGUUGGGUGCCUUCUUCCGGAUGACGACGGGCUCCCAGUCCUGCGUGAUGGGUCCUCCUGACAUGGCGAUCGGCUAAGGGAGG